UACGGGGGGGGUAAGCGUUGUUCGGAAUUACUGGGCGUAAAGAGCGCGUAGGCGGCCUGCUAAGUCGAACGUGAAAUCCCUGGGCUCAACCCAGGAACUGCGUCCGAUACUGGUUGGCUUGAAUCCGGGAGAGGGAUGUGGAAUUCCAGGUGUAGCGGUGAAAUGCGUAGAUAUCUGGAGGAACACCGGUGGCGAAGGCGACAUCCUGGACCGGUAUUGACGCUGAGGCGCGAAAGCCAGGGGAGCAAACGGG
Molecule: ribosomal RNA, 253 nt
Filed under: uncultured bacterium
Lineage: Bacteria
Description: partial 16S ribosomal RNA
Rfam family: Bacterial small subunit ribosomal RNA
Source: RNAcentral